Molecule: ribosomal RNA, 468 nt
Filed under: uncultured bacterium
Lineage: Bacteria
Description: partial 16S ribosomal RNA
Rfam family: Bacterial small subunit ribosomal RNA
Source: RNAcentral
GACGAACGCUGGCGGCGUGCUUAACACAUGCAAGUCGAACGGAAAGGCCCUGCUUUUGUGGGGUGCUCGAGUGGCGAACGGGUGAGUAACACGUGAGUAACCUGCCCUUGACUUUGGGAUAACUUCAGGAAACUGGGGCUAAUACCGGAUAGGAGCUCCUGCUGCAUGGUGGGGGUUGGAAAGUUUCGGCGGUUGGGGAUGGACUUGCGGCUUAUCAGCUUGUUGGUGGGGGAGUUGCUUACCAAGGCUUUGACGGGUAGCCGGCCUGAGAGGGUGACCGGCCACAAUGGGUCUGAGAGACGGCCCAGACUCCUUCGGGCUGCAGCAGGGCGGAAUUUUGCAGCAUGGGCCGAAGUCUGAUCAAGCAACGCCGCUUGCGGGAUGCCGGCCUUCGGGUUGUAAGCCGCUUUCGCCUGUGACGAAGCGUGCGUGACGGUAACGGGUAAAGAAGCACCGGCUAACUACGUG